Molecule: ribosomal RNA, 253 nt
Filed under: uncultured bacterium
Lineage: Bacteria
Description: partial 16S ribosomal RNA
Rfam family: Bacterial small subunit ribosomal RNA
Source: RNAcentral
UACGUAGGGUGCAAGCGUUGCCCGGAUUUAUUGGGCGUAAAGGGCGCGUAGGCGGUGCGGUAAGUCUGUAGUGAAAUCUCUGGGCUCAACUCAGAGUCUGCUGCAGAAACUGCCGUGCUUGAGUGUGGGAGAGGUGAGCGGAAUUCCUGGUGUAGCGGUGAAAUGCGUAGAUAUCAGGAGGAACACCUGUGGCGAAAGCGGCGCACUGGACCACAACUGACGCUGAGGCGCGAAAGCUAGGGGAGCAAACAGG